AGCGAACGCUGGCGGCAGGCCUAACACAUGCAAGUCGAACGGACCCUUCGGGGUUAGUGGCGGACGGGUGAGUAACACGUGGGAACGUGCCUUUAGGUUCGGAAUAGCUCCUGGAAACGGGUGGUAAUGCCGAAUGUGCCCUUCGGGGGAAAGAUUUAUCGCCUUUUGAGCGGCCCGCGUCUGAUUAGCUAGUUGGUGAGGUAAUGGCUCACCAAGGCGACGAUCAGUAGCUGGUCUGAGAGGAUGACCAGCCACACUGGGACUGAGACACGGCCCAGACUCCUACGGGAGGCAGCAGUGGGGAAUCUUGCGCAAUGGGCGAAAGCCUGACGCAGCCAUGCCGCGUGAAUGAUGAAGGUCUUAGGAUUGUAAAAUUCUUUCACCGGGGACGAUAAUGACGGUACCCGGAGAAGAAGCCCCGGCUAACUUCGUGCCAGCAGCCGCAGUAA
Molecule: ribosomal RNA, 449 nt
Filed under: uncultured bacterium
Lineage: Bacteria
Description: partial 16S ribosomal RNA
Rfam family: Bacterial small subunit ribosomal RNA
Source: RNAcentral